UAACGGCGAGUGAAGCGGGAAGAGCUCAAAUUUGAAAUCUAGUAGCCUUCGGCUGCUCGAGUUGUAAUCUAUAGAAAUGUUUUCCGUGCUGGCUCAUGUACAAGUCCCUUGGAACAGGGCGUCAUAGAGGGUGAGAAUCCCGUACUUGACAUGAAUUACCAGUGCUCUGUGAUACAUUUUCAAAGAGUCGAGUUGUUUGGGAAUGCAGCUCAAAAUGGGUGGUAAAUUCCAUCUAAAGCUAAAUAUUGGCGAGAGACCGAUAGCGAACAAGUACCGUGAGGGAAAGAUGAAAAGCACUUUGGAAAGAGAGUUAAACAGUAUGUGAAAUUGUUAAAAGGGAAACGAUUGAAGUCAAUCAUGUCCUUGGGUCUUACCACCCUUGGAUGGGGUCAACAUCAGUUUUGAUCGGUGGAUAAGGAUAGGAGGAAGGUAGCACUCUCGGGUGAACUUAUAGCCUCCUGUCGCAUACACUGGUUGAGACUGA
Molecule: ribosomal RNA, 484 nt
Filed under: Goffeauzyma gastrica
Lineage: Eukaryota; Fungi; Basidiomycota; Tremellomycetes; Filobasidiales; Filobasidiaceae
Description: eukaryotic LSU rRNA
Rfam family: Eukaryotic large subunit ribosomal RNA
Source: RNAcentral